ACUGAUAUGGUAGACCUCUCCUCGUCAUCUCUCUCUGUUUCAAGGCUUCAAGCUCUCUCUCAUCGUUGAUCGGCACUACUUGAAUAAGGAAGGGGCUAUUACUUUUCGCAUACCAGAACAAGUAGAAUUAAAGCCUUUGCAUUGUGGGGUCAAAAUUCACAGCCAAAUUAGAAUUAUUGACAUGAAUUUCAUAUUAGAGAGUAAGAAUUACUCUAAUUACUCCAGGACAUGGUCAAGAGGAUUAUGUAACUGGACAGAAGUAUGUGCUACCCAUUCUUUCACCAGUAGAUGAGCAUGGGAUAUUCGUUGAAGAAGCUAGACAGUUUAGUGGGCUUGAUGUUCUUGGUGAGGGUAACACUACUAUUGUGAAAUAUUUGGAUGAAAAUCUGUCACAUAUCCUAGAAGAAUCAUAUGAAUACAAGUAUCCAUCUGAUUGGCGAACCAAAAAACCGACAAUAUUUAGAGCAACGGAGCAAUGAAUUACAUCAAUAGAGGGAUUUCGUGAUGCUAUUAUGGGUGCUAUUGGCCAUGUAAAAUGGGUUCCAGCUUAGCUAUUAUUGCCCAAAAAGGUAGUGAUGCAUGGUGGUACAUGACAGUUGAGGACCUUUUCCCAACUAAAUACUGAGACAGAGCAGCAGAAUAUGAGAAAGGAACUGACACAAUUGAUGUAUGGUUUGAUUCAGGUUCAUCUUGGGAUUUAGUCUUCAGGAAACAAGACUGCCUUAGCUUUCCUGUAGAUUUGUAUAUUGAAGGAACAGACCAACAAGGGUAGUUUCAGAGUUCGUUGUUAACAAAUGUAGCAAUAUAUUGCUUUUUCUUUUAUGAUAUGACAAUCUACUUCUUUGUUUGAUACAAUCUGAAGAAACAUUAUUAAUCUUAUUGACAUUAGUGAAACCCUGUGAUUGCUUAUACUUGAGUCUAUUUUUUAAUAGGAUCUCAAAUAAUAAGACAAUGUGCAAUAAAUCUAGCAUAGUUGUUGGUUUGUAA
Arachis ipaensis is the source of this 987-nucleotide long non-coding RNA. RefSeq lists it as uncharacterized. Lineage: Eukaryota; Viridiplantae; Streptophyta; Magnoliopsida; Fabales; Fabaceae. The record is from RefSeq and is a predicted model, not a curated record.